GCAUACGAGAUAGCUAAACUAGUAAAGCAGAAGACUGAAAAUCCUCUUGUUACCAGUUCAAAUAUGGUUCUUUGCA
Ilex paraguariensis (yerba mate) is the source of this 76-nucleotide non-coding RNA. The record is from the annotation of a GenBank genome assembly. NCBI's taxonomy places the organism in Eukaryota, Viridiplantae, Streptophyta, Magnoliopsida, Aquifoliales, Aquifoliaceae.